RNAcentral lists this ribosomal RNA (497 nucleotides) under uncultured bacterium. RNAcentral's name for it is "partial 16S ribosomal RNA". It matches the Rfam family "Bacterial small subunit ribosomal RNA", at positions 28 to 507 of the family's 1533-position model. The record is from RNAcentral.
GAUGAACGCUGGCGGCGUGCCUAAUACAUGCAAGUCGAGCGAACAGACGAGGAGCUUGCUCCUCUGACGUUAGCGGCGGACGUGUGAGUAACACGUGGAUAACCUACCUAUAAGACUGGGAUAACUUCGGGAAACCGGAGCUAAUACCGGAUAACAUGUUGAACCGCAUGGUUCAACAGUGAAAGACGGUCUUGCUGUCACUUAUAGAUGGAUCCGCGCCGCAUUAGCUAGUUGGUAAGGUAACGGCUUACCAAGGCAACGAUGCGUAGCCGACCUGAGAGGGGGAUCGGCCACACUGGAACUGAGACACGGUCCAGACUCCUACGGGAGGCAGCAGUAGGGAUUCUUCCGCAAUGGGCGAAAGCCUGACGGAGCAACGCCGCGUGAGUGAAGAAGGUCUUCGGAUCGUAAAACUCUGUUAUUAGGGAAGAACAAAUGUGUAAGUAACUAUGCACGUCUUGACGGUACCUAAUCAGAAAGCCACGGCUAACUACGUG